RNAcentral lists this long non-coding RNA (243 nucleotides) under Sparus aurata (gilthead seabream). RNAcentral's name for it is "lncRNA (ENSSAUG00010021520.1)". The record is from RNAcentral. Lineage: Eukaryota; Metazoa; Chordata; Actinopteri; Spariformes; Sparidae.
ACUCUACUCAGCAGGGAUUAGGCACACAACCACACAACCACACACACAAACACACACACACACUAACACAAGCCAAAUACCCUCUAUCCUAAGCCUCACUGAGAGGUUGUAGCGAUAGAAGCAGCGGGAGAGCGGGGACUGUUUUUUUUAUAAAAGUACCGUUUAUAAAGAAAAAGAGAGAGCGAGCAGUGGAACCUUGUUCUACAGAGGCGAUGUGAUCGAUCCUCGAGAUCGUGGCAAGUA